AAGUCGUAACAAGGUUUCCGUAGGUGAACCUGCGGAAGGAUCAUUAUUGGAAGUUAACGGGUGCACUUUACGGUGACCCGGCCCACUCCAUCCAUUCUCACUGUGCACUGUAUCCUUAUUUUACAUUUUACACCUACCAGUUUUUGUAUGUAAACCAUUUGUAAACAAAUAAAACUUUCAACAACGGAUCUCUUGGCUCCC
This 201-nucleotide unclassified non-coding RNA is filed under the name fungal sp. Its description in RNAcentral is "partial internal transcribed spacer region". The stretch from base 1 to 46 matches the Rfam family "Eukaryotic small subunit ribosomal RNA", at positions 1786 to 1831 of the family's 1831-position model. The record is from RNAcentral. Lineage: Eukaryota; Fungi.